Lycium barbarum (goji berry) is the source of this 316-nucleotide long non-coding RNA. RefSeq lists it as uncharacterized. The transcript is spliced from 3 exons. The record is from RefSeq and is a predicted model, not a curated record. NCBI's taxonomy places the organism in Eukaryota, Viridiplantae, Streptophyta, Magnoliopsida, Solanales, Solanaceae.
UGCGCCCUACGGGGCCAGGUACUUCAGCACCAGCAGGUCGCGGCAGAGGCCAUGGUGGAGCUUCUGGCACUAGCGGUCCUUCGAACCGCAUUUAUGCUCUGUCCAGCCGCCAGGAUCAGGAGGCAUCGCCUAAUGUCGUUACAGAUUUUCGACGAAACGGAGAGUGAGCUUGGAUAGGCUUAAAAAGCUCAAAAGGUACCGACGACAGGUUUGCUGAUCCGUCCGCUUAGGAUCUCAUUCUGCUAUUUUUGGAGCGCUCUUUUAUUCAGAGCCAUCUUUUGGUACAAUCUGUUACUUCUAUAUGUGUAUAUUCUCG